GACGGGACCCGCACAAGCGGUGGAUGAUGUGGAUUAAUUCGAUGCAACGACGAAAACCUUACCUACCCUUGACAUGUCCGGAAUCCCGAAGAGAUUUGGGAGUGCUCGCAAGAGAGCCGGAACACAGGUGCUGCAUGGCUGUCGUCAGCCCGUGUCGUGAGAUGUUGGGUUAAGUCCCGCAACGAGCGCAACCCUUGUCAUUAGUUGCCAUCAUUUGGUUGGGCACUCUAAUGAGACUGCCGGUGACAAACCGGAGGAAGGUGGGGGAUGAUGUCAAGUCCUCAUGGCCCUUAUGGGUAGGGCUUCACACGUCAUACAAUGGUCGGUACAGAGGGUUGCCAACCCGCGAGGGGGAGCUAAUCCCACAAAGCCGAUCGUAGUCCGGAUCGCAGUCUGCAACUCGACUGCGUGAAGUCGGAAUCGCUAGUAAUCGUGGAUCAGCAUGUCACGGUGAAUACGUUCCCGGGUCUU
This 471-nucleotide ribosomal RNA is filed under the name uncultured Rhodocyclaceae bacterium. RNAcentral's name for it is "bacterial SSU rRNA". It matches the Rfam family "Bacterial small subunit ribosomal RNA", at positions 916 to 1381 of the family's 1533-position model. Lineage: Bacteria; Pseudomonadati; Pseudomonadota; Betaproteobacteria; Rhodocyclales; Rhodocyclaceae. The record is from RNAcentral.